AUACGGAGGGUGCAAGCGUUACUCGGAGUCACUGGGCGUAAAGCGCGCGCAGGCGGUUUGAUAAGUUGGAUGUGAAAUCCUAUGGCUCAACCAUAGAACUGCAUCCAAAACUGUCAAACUAGAGUCUGUGAGAGGAAGAUGGAAUUAGUUGUGUAGGGGUAAAAUCCGUAGAGAUAACUAGGAAUACCAAAAGCGAAGGCGAUCUUCUGGAACAGUACUGACGCUGAGGCGCGAAAGCGUGGGGAGCAAACAGAAUUAGAUACCCCAGUAGUCC
RNAcentral lists this ribosomal RNA (274 nucleotides) under uncultured bacterium. RNAcentral describes it as "partial 16S ribosomal RNA". It matches the Rfam family "Bacterial small subunit ribosomal RNA", at positions 523 to 796 of the family's 1533-position model. The record is from RNAcentral.